UCUAUGUAUAAUAAACAAUUGACAGAUGAACUGACAGAUAUUUUAUGUAAACAGGCAAAAUCUCUGCAUCUGAUGAUGGCCGUGUGUUUUCGCCGAUCAUAACUGGUUUAACUCUUGGCUCCUUUGAGAUCAAUAUGACUUCUGCCAAAUCAAAUGUGCCGGCAAAUUGCAAAAUCUCUGCAUCUGAUGAUGGCCAUGUGUUUUCGCCGAUCAUAACUGAUUCAAGCUCCUUUGAGAUCAAUAUGACUUCUGCCAAAUCAAAUGUGCCGGCAAAUUAUCAUCAAAGGUUUCUGAAAGCAAACACCAGUCAGUUGGUUAAAAAAAGUGAAG
This is a long non-coding RNA of Rhinichthys klamathensis goyatoka, 330 nucleotides long. RefSeq lists it as uncharacterized. The transcript is spliced from 3 exons. The record is from RefSeq and is a predicted model, not a curated record. NCBI's taxonomy places the organism in Eukaryota, Metazoa, Chordata, Actinopteri, Cypriniformes, Leuciscidae.